CCUACGGGAGGCAGCAGUGGGGAAUAUUGGACAAUGGGCGGAAGCCUGAUCCAGCCAUGCCGCGUGUGUGAAGAAGGCCUUUUGGUUGUAAAGCACUUUAAGCGAGGAGGAGGCUACCUGGAUUAAUACUCUGGGAUAGUGGACGUUACUCGCAGAAUAAGCACCGGCUAACUCUGUGCCAGCAGCCGCGGUAAUACAGAGGGUGCGAGCGUUAAUCGGAUUUACUGGGCGUAAAGCGUGCGUAGGCGGCUGAUUAAGUCGGAUGUGAAAUCCCUGAGCUUAACUUAGGAAUUGCAUUCGAUACUGGUCAGCUAGAGUAUGGGAGAGGAUGGUAGAAUUCCAGGUGUAGCGGUGAAAUGCGUAGAGAUCUGGAGGAAUACCGAUGGCGAAGGCAGCCAUCUGGCCUAAUACUGACGCUGAGGUACGAAAGCAUGGGGAGCAAACAGGAUUAGAUACCCCAGUAGUC
RNAcentral lists this ribosomal RNA (466 nucleotides) under uncultured bacterium. RNAcentral's name for it is "bacterial SSU rRNA". It matches the Rfam family "Bacterial small subunit ribosomal RNA", at positions 338 to 795 of the family's 1533-position model. The record is from RNAcentral.